GAUAGGUGGGGGCCGAAGCACUUUACUGUGGGGGGGGGGUGAGGAUGGUAAGGGGACUUUAAAUUAUUCACUUAAAUAAAAAUGAGGGAGGGGAGGGGGAGAGCACCCCCCAGCCCCUGUUCCCUCUGUCCGUCUGUCCCUCGGCUGUCGGUCCAGGCAGCGGCUACACAGGCAUGGGCAUCUCAUUGUACUCGUCCACACCCUCCCGCUCAUCGAACACUGGCUCCGCCUCAUUAGCAUCCAGCUGUGGGGGUGGAGGGAAUCAAGAAGGUGGAUCCUGACCUCAAGCUGGAAGGGGACGACCCCAGAGGGCGCCGGCGGGGCUGGUGGGGAGGGGCAGGAGGCCUUACACAUUUCAUCUCUCGCUCGGUGAAGAUUCGGGUGAGCACCACCAUGCGGAGCGGCACUGUGAGGAUGAGGAUGAAGGGGAAGGCCAGGGAGGCGGCUGUGGACAUGACCGCCCAGAGCAAGGCCAAGCAGAGCAGCUGCAGGGCUGUGAACAGGUGCAUACGGAGGGUCCGAACCUGGGGGUGAGGCGGGAGGAGACACGUGAGCCCAGGCUUCUCCCCGGCCUCGGAGGGCCACCCGGCCCGCCACAUUCAGGAGGCCCGCCGCAUUCUUCCCUGCACAGGGGUGGGGAUGGAAGUGCCUUCCUGGGUGCUUACCAGAGCUGCGUCUGUGCAGACUCAAUGGCGGCUGGCCCAAGUGGGCAGGUGGGGUGCCGGAGGGUAUGACCCCCCCCCCCCCCCCCCCCGCCCACGGACGCGGAGGAGCAGAGGCACGGGGCUCUUCAAAGCGGGCUCUUACCUUCUUGACGUAGGUCACAUCUGGGUGGUGUUUGGGGGGCAUGAGCAGCAGGUGCAGCCGCUCGUAGAACUGGAUCCCGUUAAGGGAGGUAACUCCCAUGUACAGAAAAAUUCCAAAGAGCACAGCCAAGGGGAUCUGCCGGAGCAGGUCCCCAAUAACCAAGGAGAGGCCUGGCGGGGGGGCGGAGAGGGAGGAACGGCUGGCACCAGGGCUCCCCAUUCUCAGAGACCCGUCUGGGAAGGGCGGGGGCAAGAGGUGGACGUACCCACAAGCAGGGCGACCAGCAGCCCUGUUACCCGCUGCUCCUUGACCUCCUGGAUCUUGGGCUUGUCCCCAGGCGCCACGGCCUUGCUCAUGACGGUGAGCGCGUUGGCGUGGGUGACGGAGCGGACAGUGGCGGCAGCCAGCCAGGGCAGGCCGAAGAGGGCACAGAUGCCUCCCAUGGCCACGAUAAGCAGCAGGUCCAGGUGGAAGCCGGAGCCCUUCUGCAGCAUCCGCUCCUUCUUGGAGAUGAUCAGCCUGAGUGGGGACAGGCACCCACUGACGCCCUGGAACCGGCUUGGCACAGAGCUGUGUCUUUCCAGAGCAUCCAGCCAGUAGCCUCUGUCUGUUUUUGGAAGCUGGUGGUCCCUGCCCAUCCCGUCAGGAUAAGACCUCUGUCACGGCUGAGCCUUCCCCAGGCCACCCUCCCUGCCCUUCAGGACAGCUUCCGGUCCGUACCGCGCCCAUCCCGGCAAACGUCAGUGGAACUUUCUAUUGUCUACAAAGUAAACUCUAGGGGCCAGCCAGGCAUCCUGGGCUCCCCCCACCCAGUGCACCCAUUAUCUCCCAGGCCGGCUGGGGUUCCCUUCCGUGAAUGAUGUGGUUCCUGUCCACAGGGCGCCCUCCUGGCUGGGACCACUCACGUGGUGAUCUGAGUCUCCAUGAAAAUGAGGAUGAAGACCAAGAUGGCGGGCAGCAGGCUGGCAACCAUCAUCCACACGGGGAAGGAGCUGUUCUCCCCCA
RNAcentral lists this long non-coding RNA (1812 nucleotides) under Lynx pardinus (Iberian lynx). Lineage: Eukaryota; Metazoa; Chordata; Mammalia; Carnivora; Felidae. The record is from RNAcentral.